CAUGCAAGUGCCUGUAUGAGUGUUUAUNCANCGAAACUGCGAAUGGCUCGGUAAAACAGCAAUAAUUUCUUCGGGGAUAUAUNCUNCCGGAUAACCGUAGUAAAGCUAGAGCUAAUACGUUCCAUUAUAGCGCGAGUAAUCAUGCUUGUGGUACUAAGUAUUAGGUACAACCCAGAUUUUUCUGGUGAUUCAUACUUAUCUUCUGAUCGCACCUCGUGUGCGACGCCCCGAUUAAAUUUCUGACCUAUCAAGUAUGAUGGUAAGGUAGGGUCUUACCAUGCUUUUGACGGGUAACGGACCGUGGGUGCGGGAUUCCGGAGAGGGAGCCUGAGAAACGGCUACCACAUCCAAGGAAGGCAGCAGGCGCGCAACUUACCCAAUCCGAACUUCGGGAGGUAGUGACAAAAAAUAUCAAUAGGGGGACCAAUGGUCUUCCUAAUUGGAAUGAAAACAAUGUAAACACCUUAUUGAGGAACCAGCAGAGGNCAAGUCUGGUGCCAGCAGCCGCGGUAAUUCCAGCUCUGUAAGCGUAUACCAAAGUUGUUGCAGUUAAAACGCUCGUAGUCGGAUUUUGGCGUGUACAUCUGAGACCCUGAUGGGCGUUGAAGGUUUGUUACCGCCUUUGCGGAGGGGGGUGCGGUGGUGCUUUAUUGUAUUGCCGCAUUUCCGCCGCUGUUUACUGUGAAAAAAUUAGAGUGUUCAAAGCGAGCGAUUGCCAUGAAUACAUUAGCAUGGAAUAAUAGAAUAGGACCUGGUUCUGUUUUAUUGGUUUGUCGGUAUCAGGUAAUGAUUAAGAGGGACGGUCGGGGGCAUUUGUAUUCCAGGGUUAGAGGUGAAAUUCUUAGAUCCUUGGAAGACAAACAGCUGCGAAAGCGUCUGCCAAGGACGUUUUCAUUGAUCAAGAACGAAAGUAAGGGGAUCGAAGACGAUCAGAUACCGUCGUAGUCCGUACCAUAAACUAUGAGGCCUAACGAUUUUGCGAGUCCAUUUUGGUACGCAAAGCAGUUUCCGGGAAACCAAAGUUUUUGCUUUCUGGGGGGAGUAUGGUCGCAAGUCUGAAACUUAAAGGAAUUGACGGAAGGGCAUCACCGGGUGUGGAGCCUGCGGCUUAAUUUGACUCAACACGGGAAAACUUACCAGGUCCAGACAUAGUGAGGAUUGACAGAUUGAGAGCUCUUUCUUGAUUCUAUGGUUGGUGGUGCAUGGCCGUUCUUAGUUGGUGGAGUGAUCUGUCUGGUUAAUUCCGUUAACGAGCGAGACCUGGGCGUGCUAAAUAGGGUUUGUUAUUCUUGUAAUAGCAGCUAUGCCCUUCUUAGACGGACUGUAGGCUUUUAGUCUAUGGAAGCUCCAGGCAAUAACAGGUCUGAGAUGCCCUUAGAUGUUCUGGGCCGCACGCGUGCUACACUGAACGGUUCAAUGGGUAAGGUAGUGCGAAAGCAUGACCUAAUCUCGAAAUCCGUUCGUGCUGGGGAUAGAAGCUUGCAAUUAUCCUUCUUGAACGAGGAAUACCUUGUAAGCGCGAGUCAUCAUCUCGCGCUGAAUACGUCCCUGCCCUUUGUACACACCGCCCGUCGCUCCUACCGAUUGAGUGGUCCGGNGAGGCUUUGGGAGGACUGGAUGGACUGUGUUUCACAGACUGUUUGGUCUGAACUUAGUCAAACCUUACUACUUAGAG
RNAcentral lists this ribosomal RNA (1675 nucleotides) under Polysiphonia sp. AKB13. RNAcentral describes it as "SSU rRNA". It matches the Rfam family "Eukaryotic small subunit ribosomal RNA". The record is from RNAcentral. Lineage: Eukaryota; Rhodophyta; Florideophyceae; Ceramiales; Rhodomelaceae.